CGCGUUCUUUCAGCGAUCGGCCGCGUGUCUGGGAAGCAUGGCGCCACGGUGGGGUGCAGCACCGCUGAGCAGCCUUACAGGCUUUGGGUGAUGCCUUUCUCUAGCUUCUGGGGAGAUGAGAAGCAGAGCUGCAGGUUGCAGUUUAAAAGUAACGGAACCGCAAAAUGAGAAAAGAUGGAUGCAAGCAGGUCCUGGGGGUGGUCACCAGAAAGCAGAGAUGGCGUGAUGUUCCGGCACAUCCACCUCAUAAGUUGUUCCAAGUUAAGUUGAAUAUCCAUGGUAUUGGCUGUGGACUUGUGAAACCCAUCAUCUUAAAAUAUUGA
RNAcentral lists this long non-coding RNA (323 nucleotides) under Urocitellus parryii (Arctic ground squirrel). RNAcentral describes it as "lncRNA (ENSUPAG00010000744.1)". Lineage: Eukaryota; Metazoa; Chordata; Mammalia; Rodentia; Sciuridae. The record is from RNAcentral.